Molecule: long non-coding RNA, 1107 nt
Organism: Beta vulgaris subsp. vulgaris (sugar beet)
Lineage: Eukaryota; Viridiplantae; Streptophyta; Magnoliopsida; Caryophyllales; Amaranthaceae
Exons: 2
Source: RefSeq, a predicted model, not a curated record
CUGAAGUUACUACACAUUUUGCUAGCCUCGUCGGGCACCGACUUCUCAAUAGAAUAAAUUAUCAGUUGGGCUAAAAGAUUGAAGGGUUUGGUAUAGAUGAAAGGUGCAAAUCUACCUUUGUUACUCAGUGCAAGACAAUAGUAAUCUUCAUUAAAAAAAAUAAUUUAAAUGAGUGUUUUUUAGAACAAAAUCUAAAAAACCCUCUCCCGCCCCAAAACCCUACCCCCCACUGCAAUGAAACUCCCAUCGCCGCCACUCUUUCCCGCAUCCUUUAAACCCCUCUCUCUCCCUGAAACCUCCAUCGCGGCUCCGAAACCCCUUUCCCUGUCAAUUGUGAAAGGAGAACGCGACUCCCAGUGACUCAAGCUCGAUUGAAGUUCGAAUAUGAGAAUUCAAAUCAAAGGGAACGCUGAUGUUGUCAAGGAGAAGAUGUCGACAAAGCUAGAGAGUUUGCCGGGAAGUGUUAAUUUGAGUGGUAUUGCAAGUGCUCUUUCAUUUGCAAAUGAGAUGUGCAUUAAAUGAGGAAGUUCAGUAUGUGUUGAUGGAGAUGAGGGUUCUUCUUGUGCUGUAGGACAUGUCACAAUAUUAGAUUCAGAUGGGGUUGUCAUUGAGGUUUCGGUUAUGUUGCCUAAUUCAAUUAUGAGCAAUGUUGUGUCAAAGUCUUCUUUUCGGAGGCUAGCAAAGAAAAUCUAAUGUCAAUUGCUUAAUCAUCUUGGUCUCAAUCGUAACAUGGAGAAGAAAAAUGGGAUUCAAGUAUCAAAGAGGCGGUGUAGCGAAAGGGUAUCCCAAUGGUUAAUUUGAUGUCAUUGAUUCAAAAUCGUCUUGAGUUCACGAGUUCUUUUGUUGUUUUGUUUGAUGUUGUCUUAGUUUGCUGUUUUUCAGUCGGCAAACUUGGAUGUUUCUCGCCUCUUUGAUGUGGUGGUUGUAUUAUUUCUUGAUCGUUCUAGGGGUGAUAUUGUUGAGGGGUUUUUGUUGUGCCUGAAGCGUUUUAGUUUCGUGUUUUUGUAUUUGUCUUUCAAGGUGUUGUAGUCUUGGAACUUCAAUCAGUCAAUGUAUGCCUUUAACUCUAUUAUGAGUUCUAAUAAAAUGAACUAAAUUAUAAAAAAA